RNAcentral lists this long non-coding RNA (1192 nucleotides) under Homo sapiens (human). Its description in RNAcentral is "novel transcript". Lineage: Eukaryota; Metazoa; Chordata; Mammalia; Primates; Hominidae. The record is from RNAcentral.
CUCAACUCAUAGCUCACCCGCCUUCAGAGACUUCUUGGCCCAUCUUAGCUGGAAGGGAUCUGUUCCAGCGCUGAGCUUUUAUUUUGCUUAGCAUCUACUCAGAUGCCUUGACUGUGUGUGUCUCACAGUCCUACUGACUGACAAACUCCCUGGGGGCCGAGAUGGCAUGGAUUCAGGUCUCAGAUGCUCUAUGGCACCUGGGAGCAUCUUACACAGGUGAAGUGCUCAGUGAUGAUCUGGGGUCACUAUUCUCUGCAGAUCAGCAUGUCUGAGAGGUAGGGGCUCACAGACUGUGGAACUGGUGUAAGACCUUUGUCUUUUCCCAGCUACUAACAGGUCCUGCUUGUCACAGCCCUUCCAUGAUACAAAGUUAAGUCAUUUUGUGUCUGACACAGGCAAAGGAAAAUGACAGGCCCUUGCCUUCCCGGUCCUCAAGGGUCAGCUGUAAGAUGAUGUCAUAAAGCCGGAUCAGGUCCUGGGGCCGGGGGAAGCACUUGCUGUCAUCCUCUGGCUGCUGCUGCAGCAGAGCCCUCUGCAGACCUUUGGCCAUGCUCUCAUUACGCUUGAUUGCCAUUGACAGCUUGAUGUAAGUCAGGUAGGUGGAAUGCACCACACGUCAGCUCAAGUUAUACUCAGAGAAGCAGAGGAACUGGGAGGACUGCACUACGAGUUGGGGCUGACCCAGAGGAAGUCGGGGGUGAGUUGGGGCAAGGCCACAGCAGGGCCAUUUGGCCUGGGCUUCAAGGGACCCUGUAAUCCCAACUACUUGGCAGGCUGAGGCAGGAGAAUCACUUGAAUCCGGGAGGUGGAGGUUUCAGUGAGCCGAGAUAGUGCCACUUCACUGCAGCCUGGGCGACAAGAGUGAAACUCCGUCUCAAAGAAAACUAAAAUAGGCUGGGUGCAGUGACUCAUGCCUGUAAUCCCAGCACUUUGGGAGGCCGAGAUGGGUGGAUCACCUGAGGCUGGGAGUUCAAGACCAGCCUGACCAACAUGGAGAAACCCCAUCUCUACUAAAAAUACAAAAUUAGCUGGGCGUGGUGGCUCAUGCCUGUAAUCCCAGCUACUCAGGAGGCUGAGGCAGGAGAACUGCUUGAACCUGAGAGGCGGAGGUUGUAGUGAGCUGGGAUUGCUCCAUUGCACUCCAGCCUGGGCAACAAGAGCGAACCUCCGUCUCAAAAAAUAAAUAAAUAAA